Molecule: ribosomal RNA, 513 nt
Filed under: uncultured bacterium
Lineage: Bacteria
Description: partial 16S ribosomal RNA
Rfam family: Bacterial small subunit ribosomal RNA
Source: RNAcentral
GACGAACGCUGGCGGCGUGCCUAAUACAUGCAAGUUGAGCGCUGAAGGUUGGUACUUGUACCGACUGGAUGAGCAGCGAACGGGUGAGUAACGCGUGGGGAAUCUGCCUUUGAGCGGGGGACAACAUUUGGAAACGAAUGCUAAUACCGCAUAACAACUUUAAACACAAGUUUUAAGUUUGAAAGAUGCAAUUGCAUCACUCAAAGAUGAUCCCGCGUUGUAUUAGCUAGUUGGUGAGGUAAAGGCUCACCAAGGCGAUGAUACAUAGCCGACGUGGGAGGGUGAUCGGCCACAUUGGGACUGAGACACGGCCCAAAAUCCUACGGGAGGCAGCAGUAGGGAAUCUUCGGCAAUGGACGAAAGUCUGACCGAGCAACGCCGCGUGAGUGAAGAAGGUUUUCGGAUCGUAAAACUCUGUUGGUAGAGAAGAACGUUGGUGAGAGUGGAAAGCUCAUCAAGUGACGGUAACUACCCAGAAAGGGACGGCUAACUACGUGCCAGCCGCCGCAGUAA